AUUGUUAGCCAUCCCAUUAUCUCAUUAUGAAGACACCAUAACUCUGCCAUUUCCAAACACUCACUAAUGACCCUUCCUAGGACUUUCCACCGGGAACCCUCUGGGAAGAGCAGGCAACACGAUCCCUCGGCCUGCCAGGUGGUGAGUGGUGUGUGCACAGCUCUCUGCCCUGCUUCAAGAAGAGCUGACUGCAGGUGUAGACAUAGGCGGAGCCUGGGGCCUCGGAGGGCCUCAUCCACCCACAGAGCCCACGCCCUUCCUUUCUCCAUCCUACUGUGGUACAAACACCACCAUCCAGGAGGACAGCAACUUGGCAAGAUCUGGGCAAGCUUAACCAAACCACAUACAAUAUUUUGCACAAAGAAAGAGUAAUUAGGGCAGCAUGUACUCUCACAUGAAAUACUAGAUUACCCGGGAAGCCAGAGGGGUCCUGUGUCUAUCAGCAUUGAUUUGAUGUGUCAAGGAGAAACAAUGUCGUGUAGAAAAUGCAAUGAGGCAGAGCACAUAGUUAUGUAUUUAAAGCAUGCUUGGUUAUUUGCCGUUGGAAAUUUCUGUUUGGGAUGCCAAGGACAUUAUCGGGUGGCAGUUGACUACGUUGCAAUGUGACCCCCACCCUCCCUUCCUGUCCUUGGCUGAUCCUGCACUGCCAUUCCAUUUAUGAAAACAAAAGUGACUUUAAUGUGAGGGGGUAAAAGAUAAAAGAGAUCCUGCCAAAUAAUGGAAACAAACAACAACAACAAUAAUAAUAAUAAUAAAAAAAAACAAAAGCAAGCCCGUUUGGUGCCU
This is a long non-coding RNA of Vulpes vulpes (red fox), 786 nucleotides long. Lineage: Eukaryota; Metazoa; Chordata; Mammalia; Carnivora; Canidae. The record is from Ensembl.